This is a long non-coding RNA of Alligator mississippiensis (American alligator), 999 nucleotides long. RefSeq lists it as uncharacterized. The transcript is spliced from 6 exons. The record is from RefSeq and is a predicted model, not a curated record. NCBI's taxonomy places the organism in Eukaryota, Metazoa, Chordata, Crocodylia, Alligatoridae.
CUAACUUUUGCCUACAGUUCCUGAAGGAGGGGCAAAACCAGAGGAGAGUAAAGCAGAAAGGGGCUCUUCUGUUAGCAAGCUCACCUGCUGGUGGCUCCAGUUCCCUGUAUCAGUGUAUACCUGAGUCAGAGGUCUGGCUGAACCCCCAAGCAAGUUAACAAAUACGGUGAGAAGACAGGAAGAAAAAUGGGAGGGCCUAGCGGGAGAAGAGUCAGAAGUUCCACUGGAUUCAGACACUUCAGGGAAGCACAAGAGGGAGAAGAUCUGUUCCGAUCCAUCAUUCAGUCCAAAUUAGCCAAACAAGAUGAACAGACGGAUGCAUCCAACCACACCAUGGGAGCAGUAUUAGCUCAAGAGAUGGAUGGCAUAGAAUGCCCAAUCGCCUAUGCCAGCAGAAAAUUUAAUCCCCAGGAACAAAGGCCUGGCCAUGCCAAUGUAGUGGCUGACUUCCUACCUCGGUGUUGUCAAGAAGCAAAUUCUCCAGUGAUACCCAUAUAGCUACUGACCUGAAAACCCCGUUAUUUUCACAGCUCUAUGUGUCUUUAUUUUUUCUUAAUAAAAUACCUACUUUGUAACAUUACUUUAAACAAAAGCCAGAUUUUUAAGUUAUUAACAAGUCUGAAUUAUUUUGUAACUAUCAUUACUGAAAUAAUAGAUGGUCCAUUUAUUCACUUUCAUUUCUAGGUUUGUAAUUUUAUUUUUAAGUACAUGGGCAGUUAUAAUGCUAUAGGAAAGCAAAUAAGACGUUCUUUGUGAAUUUGAUAAUUUAGUGCUAUAAUUAAAUAUUUCAUGGACCCAUUUGAAAGCAUCGAAGCAGGGAUGUUGUACAUGGAUUGAGAGGUGUGUCAAUGGUGCAUGUUCCAGUGCUACCCAGGGAAGUGCCUUUUACAUAGUCACCACAUGAGGCUGAAUCACUCAAAGGCACAUUUGGAGACUUUCUAGAAUAUACAGGUCAGUCGCAUCAUAAGCAUCCAUUUAACUUGCACGAAUUCAACUAUA